RNAcentral lists this transfer RNA (73 nucleotides) under Fukomys damarensis (Damara mole-rat). It matches the Rfam family "tRNA". From Rfam's summary of the family: Transfer RNA (tRNA) molecules are approximately 80 nucleotides in length. Their secondary structure includes four short double-helical elements and three loops (D, anti-codon, and T loops). The record is from Rfam by way of RNAcentral. Lineage: Eukaryota; Metazoa; Chordata; Mammalia; Rodentia; Bathyergidae.
GGGGAUUUAGCUCAGCAGCAUAGCGCCUGCCUGGCAUGCAUGAGGUCCUGAGUUCAAUCCCCAGUAACCACCA